This 809-nucleotide ribosomal RNA is filed under the name uncultured archaeon. RNAcentral's name for it is "bacterial SSU rRNA". It matches the Rfam family "Archaeal small subunit ribosomal RNA", at positions 85 to 879 of the family's 1478-position model. The record is from RNAcentral.
ACUGCUCAGUAACACGUGGCUAAUCUGCCCUUAGGACGAGAACAACCCCGGGAAACUGGGGCUAAUUCUUGAUGGGUGAAGAACUCUGGAAUGAGUCUUUGCUUAAAUGGACUCACGUUAUCCUCGUGAAUUUGCCUAAGGAUGAGGCCGCGACCGAUCAGGUUGUUGGCGAGGUAAUGGCUCACCAAGCCUUUUACCGGUGCGGGCCGUGGGAGCGGGAGCCCGGAGAUGGGUACUGAGACAAGGACCCAGGCCCUACGGGGCGCAGCAGUCGCGAAACCUUUGCAAUACACGAAAGUGUGACAGGGCUAUCCCGAGUGCCAUCCGCUGAGGAAGGCUUUUACCCAGUCUAGAACGCUGGGGGAAUAAGGAGAGGGCAAGUCUGGUGUCAGCCGCCGCGGUAAUACCAGCUCUCCGAGUGGUGUGGAUGUUUAUUGGGCCUAAAGCAUCCGUAGCUGGCUAGGUAAGUCCUUUGUUAAAUCCACCGAAUUAAUCGUUGGAUCGCGGGGGAUACUGCUUGGCUAGGGGACGAGAGAGGCAGACGGUAUUUUCGGGGUAGGGGUGAAAUCCUAUAAUCCCGGGAAGACCACCAGUGGCGAAGGCUGUCUGCUAGAACGCGCCCGACGGUGAGGGAUGAAAGCUGGGGGAGCGAACCGGAUUAGAUGCCCGGGUAGUCCCAGCUGUAAACGAUGCAGACUAGGUGUUUGGACGGCCACGUGCCGUUCUAGUGCCGCAGGGAAGCUGUUAAGUCUGCCGCCUGGGGAGUACGAUCGCAAGAUUGAAACUUAAAGGAAUUGGCGGGGGAGCAC